CCUAAGAGAUUAGGCCCUCCUUCGGGACACGAAGACAGGUGUUGCAUGGUUGUCGUCAGCUCGUGUCGUGAGAUGUUGGGUUAAGUCCCGCAACGAGCGCAACCCUCAUGUACAGUUGCCAAUAUUUAGUUAGGAACUCUGUAUAGACUGCCGUGGUUAACACGGAGGAAGGUGGGGAUGACGUCAAAUCAUCACGGCCCUUACGUCCUGGGCUACACACGUGCUACAAUGGCUAUUACAAAGAGUAGCGAUACAGUAAUGUGGAGCGAAUCUCAAAAAGAUAGUCUCAGUUCGGAUUGUGGGCUGCAACUCGCCCACAUGAAGUCGGAGUUGCUAGUAAUCCCGAAUCAGCGUGUCGGGGUGAAUGCGUCCCCGGGUCUUGUACACACCGCCCGUCACGCCAUGGGAGUUGGGAGUGCCCAAAGUCACUGACUUAACCGCAAGGGGAGAGGUGCCUGAGGUAAUACCAAUGACUGGGGUGAAGUCGUAACAAGGUAGCCGUAUCGGAAGGUGCGGC
This 517-nucleotide ribosomal RNA is filed under the name uncultured bacterium. Its description in RNAcentral is "bacterial SSU rRNA". It matches the Rfam family "Bacterial small subunit ribosomal RNA", at positions 998 to 1518 of the family's 1533-position model. The record is from RNAcentral.